RNAcentral lists this ribosomal RNA (253 nucleotides) under uncultured bacterium. Its description in RNAcentral is "partial 16S ribosomal RNA". It matches the Rfam family "Bacterial small subunit ribosomal RNA", at positions 524 to 776 of the family's 1533-position model. The record is from RNAcentral.
UACGUAGGGGGCUAGCGUUGUCCGGAAUCAUUGGGCGUAAAGAGCGUGUAGGCGGCCCGGUAAGUCCGCUGUGAAAGUCGGGGGCUCAACCCUCGAAUGCCGGUGGAUACUGUCGGGCUAGAGUGCGGAAGAGGCGAGUGGAAUUCCUGGUGUAGCGGUGAAAUGCGCAGAUAUCAGGAGGAGCACCGAUUGCGAAGGCAGCUCGCUGGGACGUCACUGACGCUGAGACGCGAAAGCGUGGGGAGCAAACAGG